UUAAAACCCUGAGGAAGGCGUCGGACCUGUGGUAGCCUAGCAGCUCGCUACAAGCUCUCAUGGGAGUGCGUGUUAAGAUGAUCUUAGUUGCUUCCUUUACACUCCCAUGAGAGCUUUGUAGGGCGUCCAGCAGGUGUCCCCCCCCCCCCCUGCUUCCACCGCUCACUCACGCUGCUUUACUUCACUCGCUGCGAGUCCCUGGAUGUACUGUAUGAGCACGUUGUGGCGGAGGGGCUUAAGCCAGUGACUUCUUUCUUUGUGAAGGGACUCCGCUCAGAUGCAUUCCGAACCCAUGAGAUGUUUGUGCUUGCGGGUGGAGAGUUUAGCAGAUGUGGCUCCGUCAGAAGGGGGUGCUGAGAAGCUGAGAAGCUGAGAAGCUGAGAAGCUGAGAAGCGGUUGAUUGACGAUCAGACGGAUGCUCAACAGCUAAAAGUUUGGAUCCCCCGAAGGGACCAGCUGUGAGUGCAAGACCCAAUUCUACCAACCCAAGAUAACUUACUGACUAAUAGUAGAGAUUUAUGGCCAAAUUAUUUUAUUUAUUGUAAUUUUUAUUUUCAACAAAGAUUUUUUUUUUAAAAGUGUUCCAGGACCGAGUUCUUUUAAAUCCCCUGUAUUUAUUUUAUUUGAACAGCAAACAUGAGGGAAUCCGUCAGGUAGAAGCAAAGCAUUGUGGGAAACUGUAACAGGAACCAAAAAGACCUCGGGGGGGGGUGGCGGACAUGUGAGACUGUAAGUGUACACAGCGGCGUGUUUCUUCCACCUCUUGGCCCCCACGUACACGCGCUCACACGGCGGGGGCCGCGAGGCGUCGCCACCAUCUUCUCCGGACAAUUCAGUCACAACGAACGACUCCGUGGAAACACGGCACAGCACUGUGGAAUUCUGAUGCACUACAUUCCGACUUCCCCCGAUCCUCUUAACGUGUUGGAACGCAGGCCGCGGCGGCCUCAUCACGCACAGUGUGAUUGUGCGUCCCACGUGUGCGCUACGGAUGACGGGGACAAAAGAGAGCGUGAGCUGAUCGAUGGCAGAGGAAAGAGGAAGUUUGGAGAAAGGAAAACGAGAAAAGACUGAAGGAGAGAACAGUGGCACGUUCAGCGUCGUGUUCCUCAGCUCCUAAAACACUUCACAACCUAUUUUAAACAAAUACGUUGCUUAUUAUAUAAUUGCAGCCCUCAUAAGUGUGCGCCAGUCGCUAUGUAGUCAAAACUUCAAUAACGCCCCUCAAAGCUUUCUGUGUUUUAACUCUUGAGUCGUAGAAAGAGCAGGAAUGUUCUCUGCGUGCGGCUGGUUCCUCUGGUACCUUCACGGGACACCUGUACUCGGACCAGAGAUGUGAAGCGUGCCGACAAGCUGCCUUCUAAAAAUCCACAUGAUGAUCCACCAUCUCGGGUCUUUUUCUUGUUGUUUUCGGACGAAUCAGAAAAUCUUCCUCCAAAAAAAAAAAAAAAACCCAAAUCCGAAUGUCUCAGUUUGCCCUCCGGUUCUCUCAUGAAAUCAAUGCUUUUAUUUCUUUGAAAAUAUAUUUUAGCCUGACUCUGUUCUAGAUGUGGGUUAAUUGUGUUCCGCGUUAAAGCAAACUGAAUGACCUCAUGAACUUGAUUGUAAAACCAUAGUUUAGUGAUGGGAACAAAGCAAACCAGUGGGAUUUCUUUUUAAUCUUUAUUUACAGAAUUUUUGUAUUUAAACCUACAUAUUUGUAUUGUAAUUACAUUGUACAAAAGAUAAAUAAAGUAAUAUAAUAUUA
Molecule: long non-coding RNA, 1747 nt
Organism: Gasterosteus aculeatus aculeatus (three-spined stickleback)
Lineage: Eukaryota; Metazoa; Chordata; Actinopteri; Perciformes; Gasterosteidae
Source: Ensembl